UUCGUGCGUCGUGGACACAAGUGAGUCGCUGCAGAUUCUCUGUGCACUUGGCCUCUCUGUGGGUGUGCGUGCUUUUUAUGUGUAGCUAGUCUUUGUGAAUAGCUUACAGUUACCAAGCGUCCAUUGCCAACAAAUGAAAAAGAAGGCCAGCUGCUCAAAUUAAAGCGGGUAGCGGAAAAAUCGAUUAGCCCAAUGAACGUGAGAUUGUGUGAUAAUAUGUAUGUGUGUUUUGUAUGAGUUUGUAUUUGCCUAAAACACCCAAAAAAAAGAAAUAAAUAAAUAUAAAGUAAAAUAAAACAAACAAAUUAAAUUAAAGGAUGUUGCUGUAGACCGGCAUGGCCAUGAACGCCCCUUGAUAAACUCAACAACAGCAUCCAGCAAGGUCGCUGAGGAUAAAACAACAAAAAAGGAUAAAAUCAACAAGAACUGGCAGCAGUAAGAAAUUAAAAACUCUGCCGUUGCAGAUGGACGGACAAUUCUGAAGAGCUGGAGCCAAUAUAGCAUGUACCUUAUCAUGUAGCGCCAUGAUCAGACCGGGGGCCAAGUGGUUAUGCUAUGCAGGCAACGAAACUGGGAAACCACACCUCCACUCAUGUACCUAUAUCCCCAGCAGAAAUCAGCAACAGGAACAACAACAGCGCGAGCAUAAGCAAAUCAAGGGCAAUCUUUGGACAUGGCAUAGGGCAGAUGCUGUAACGGGUGUCGGUGUUAGCGACAGCAGCGUGGGCGUCAGUGGCGCCUCUGUUGUAGUCUGAGGCAACAUCAUUAGCUUCAAACACAGCUUAAUGAUUAUGCGCAAGGCAAGCCAAUUGUAUUAUGCCGCAACUAUGAACUAUUGCUACAAUUAAUAUUAAUUCAUAAUAUUUCUACAAUAUUCAUGUUAAGAAAAA
Drosophila virilis is the source of this 890-nucleotide long non-coding RNA. RefSeq lists it as uncharacterized. NCBI's taxonomy places the organism in Eukaryota, Metazoa, Arthropoda, Insecta, Diptera, Drosophilidae. The record is from RefSeq and is a predicted model, not a curated record.